UACGGGGGGAGCAAGCGUUGUUCGGAUUUACUGGGCGUAAAGGGCGCGUAGGCGGUCGUGACAAGUCACUUGUGAAAUCUCCGGGCUUAACUCGGAACGGUCAAGUGAUACUGUCGGACUAGAGUACAGAAGGGGCAACUGGAAUUCUCGGUGUAGCGGUGAAAUGCGUAGAUAUCGAGAGGAACACCUGCGGCGAAGGCGGGUUGCUGGGCCAACACUGACGCUGAGGCGCGAAAGCCAGGGGAGCGAACGGG
This 254-nucleotide ribosomal RNA is filed under the name uncultured bacterium. RNAcentral's name for it is "partial 16S ribosomal RNA". It matches the Rfam family "Bacterial small subunit ribosomal RNA", at positions 524 to 776 of the family's 1533-position model. The record is from RNAcentral.